GACGGACGCUGGCGGCGUGCUUAACACAUGCAAGUCGAACGCGCCUGUCCUCUGGGUUUCUGGGGGGUGGGUGAGUGGCGAACGGGUGAGUAACACGUGAGUAACCUGCCCCCUUCUUCGGGAUAACGGUCUGAAAGGGCUGCUAAUACCGGGUAUUCACUGGUCUCCGCAUGGGGUCUGGUGGAAAGGUUUUUUUCUGGUGGGGGAUGGGCUCGCGGCCUAUCAGCUUGUUGGUGGGGUGAUGGCCCACCAAGGCUUUGACGGGUAGCCGGCCUGAGAGGGUGACCGGUCACAUUGGGACUGAGAUACGGCCCAGACUCCUACGGGAGGCAGCAGUGGGGAAUAAUGCACAAUGGGCGCAAGCCUGAUGCAGCGACGCCGCGUGAGGGAUGGAGGCCUUCGGGUUGUGAACCUCUUUCGCCCGUGGUCAAGCCGCGACGUGGGUCGUGGUGAGGGUAGUGGGUAAAGAAGCGCCGGCUAACUACGUG
Molecule: ribosomal RNA, 488 nt
Filed under: uncultured bacterium
Lineage: Bacteria
Description: partial 16S ribosomal RNA
Rfam family: Bacterial small subunit ribosomal RNA
Source: RNAcentral